Molecule: RNase P RNA, 384 nt
Filed under: Pseudoclavibacter sp.
Lineage: Bacteria; Bacillati; Actinomycetota; Actinomycetes; Micrococcales; Microbacteriaceae
Also listed under: 1 other name
Description: RNase P RNA component class A
Rfam family: Bacterial RNase P class A
About the family: Ribonuclease P (RNase P) is a ubiquitous endoribonuclease, found in archaea, bacteria and eukarya as well as chloroplasts and mitochondria. Its best characterised activity is the generation of mature 5'-ends of tRNAs by cleaving the 5'-leader elements of precursor-tRNAs.
Source: RNAcentral
CGGGAUGCUCAUGCGAUCGCGUGCCAGAGAGAUCUGGUCCGAGGAACGUCCGGGCUCCACAGGGCACGAUGGUGGGUAACGCCCACCCGGGGCAACCCGAGAGCAAGUGCAGCAGAGAGCAGACCGCCAGCGGCGACCUCGGUCGCAGCUGGUAAGGGUGAAACGGUGGUGUAAGAGACCACCAGUGGGCAUGGUGACAUGCCCAGCUGGGUAAACCUCAUCGGGAGCAAGACCAAGCAUGGAGGUGGGCGGCCCGCCUGUACCUCCGGGUAGGUUGCUGGAGCGUGUCAGCAAUGGCACGCCGAGAGAGAUGAUCGCACCCGGUCACGGCACCUCGUGUGUUGCGGCCGGCGACAGAACCCGGCGUAUCGAGCAUCCCGUCCA